Molecule: ribosomal RNA, 309 nt
Filed under: uncultured Planctomycetota bacterium
Lineage: Bacteria; Pseudomonadati; Planctomycetota
Description: bacterial SSU rRNA
Rfam family: Bacterial small subunit ribosomal RNA
Source: RNAcentral
AAUGAACGUUGGCGGCGUGGAUUAGGCAUGCAAGUCGCGCGGAGAGACCGUGGAAGGGACACUCGAGUGGCGAAAUGGACAGUAACACGUAGAUAACGUACCCCCAGGUCUGGGAUAGCUGCGGGAAACUGCAGGUAAUACCAGAUGACGUUUCCGAACCAAAGGUGUGAAUCCGCCCGGGGAGGGGCCUGCGGGCUAUUAGCUAGUUGGCAGGGUAACGGCCUACCAAGGCAAAGAUGGCUAGGCGGUGUGAGAGCACGACCCGCAUCACUGGGACUGAGACACUGCCCAGACACCUACGGGAGGCAG